Molecule: ribosomal RNA, 465 nt
Filed under: Vreelandella stevensii
Lineage: Bacteria; Pseudomonadati; Pseudomonadota; Gammaproteobacteria; Oceanospirillales; Halomonadaceae
Description: partial 16S ribosomal RNA
Rfam family: Bacterial small subunit ribosomal RNA
Source: RNAcentral
CCUACGUGCGGCAGCAGUGGGGAAUAUUGGACAAUGGGCGAAAGCCUGAUCCAGCCAUGCCGCGUGUGUGAAGAAGGCCUUCGGGUUGUAAAGCACUUUCAGUGGGGAAGAAAGCCUUGGGGCUAAUACCCUCGAGGAAGGACAUCACCCACAGAAGAAGCACCGGCUAACUCCGUGCCAGCAGCCGCGGUAAUACGGAGGGUGCGAGCGUUAAUCGGAAUUACUGGGCGUAAAGCGCGCGUAGGCGGUCUGAUAAGCCGGUUGUGAAAGCCCCGGGCUCAACCUGGGAACGGCAUCCGGAACUGUCAGGCUAGAGUGCAGUAGAGGAAGGUAGAAUUCCCGGUGUAGCGGUGAAAUGCGUAGAGAUCGGGAGGAAUACCAGUGGCGAAGGCGGCCUUCUGGACUGACACUGACGCUGAGGUGCGAAAGCGUGGGUAGCAAACAGGAUUAGAUACCCCGGUAGUC